Molecule: ribosomal RNA, 253 nt
Filed under: uncultured bacterium
Lineage: Bacteria
Description: partial 16S ribosomal RNA
Rfam family: Bacterial small subunit ribosomal RNA
Source: RNAcentral
UACAGAGGGUGCGAGCGUUGUCCGGAAUCACUGGGCGUAAAAGGCGCGUAGGCGGCUUGGUAAGUAGGGGGUGAAAUCUUGCGGCUCAACUGCAAGGCUGCCUCCUAAACUGCCUGGCUGGAGCACGGUAGAGGCAGAUGGAAUUCCCGGUGUAGCGGUGGAAUGCGUAGAGAUCGGCAGGAACACCCAGGGGGAAACCAGUCGACUGGGCAUCUACUGACGCUGAGGUGCGAGAGCGUGGGGAGCGAACCGG